AGCCCUAAGCGGGUGGUAAACUCCAUCUAAGGCUAAAUAUGACCACGAGACCGAUAGCGAACAAGUACCGUGAGGGAAAGUUGAAAAGCACUUUGAAGAGAGAGUUCAAGAGUACGUGAAACCGUUUAGGGGUAAACCUGAGAAACCCGAAAGGUCGAAGGGAGAAAUUCAUUCGCGUCUCGCCGUCGGCGUGAAAUAGUCGUGCGACGAAAGACGUUCGCGUCUUUCGCGCCUUCCGUUUUUCGUUCCGAUGGCGAACGCGUGCACUUUUCUCCUGGUAGGACGUCGCGAUCCGUUGGGUGUCGGUCUACGGCUCGCGGUGGAGCCCGGAUGUGUUCGUCACGUCCGGACCCGCGUGUCCCGGCCGACUCGCUCGACGGUAUACGAAAGGUUUAAGGCCGCUCUCGGAGCGUUCGGCUCGUCGCAAGCGCGUCAGAUGUUUGUCGGUAAUCGGACCUGGUGCCGGUUCUGACCUCUGGCGACUGUUGGCGACGAAGUUCUCGAACAGACCUAGGACCGAUCUGCGACGCUAUAGCUUUGGGUACUUUCAG
RNAcentral lists this ribosomal RNA (551 nucleotides) under Catapionus mopsus. RNAcentral's name for it is "partial 28S ribosomal RNA". It matches the Rfam family "Eukaryotic large subunit ribosomal RNA", at positions 284 to 645 of the family's 3401-position model. Lineage: Eukaryota; Metazoa; Arthropoda; Insecta; Coleoptera; Curculionidae. The record is from RNAcentral.